AGUCGAGGGGCAGCAUGAACUUAGCUUGCUAAGUUUGAUGGCGACCGGCGCACGGGUGAGUAACACGUAUCCAACCUGCCGAUGACUCGGGGAUAGCCUUUCGAAAGAAAGAUUAAUACCCGAUGGCAUAGUUCUUCCGCAUGGUAGAACUAUUAAAGGAUUUCGGUCAUCGAUGGGGAUGCGUUCCAUUAGGUUGUUGGCGGGGUAACGGCCCACCAAGCCUUCGAUGGAUAGGGGUUCUGAGAGGAAGGUCCCCCACAUUGGAACUGAGACACGGUCCAAACUCCUACGGGAGGCAGCAGUGAGGAAUAUUGGUCAAUGGACGAGAGUCUGAACCAGCCAAGUAGCGUGAAGGAUGACUGCCCUAUGGGUUGUAAACUUCUUUUAUACGGGAAUAAAGUGAGGCACGUGUGCCUUUUUGUAUGUACCGUAUGAAUAAGGAUCGGCUAACUCCGUGCCAGCAGCCGCGGUAAUACGGAGGAUCCGAGCGUUAUCCGGAUUUAUUGGGUUUAAAGGGAGCGUAGGCGGACGCUUAAGUCAGUUGUGAAAGUUUGCGGCUCAACCGUAAAAUUGCAGUUGAUACUGGGUGUCUUGAGUACAGUAGAGGCAGGCGGAAUUCGUGGUGUAGCGGUGAAAUGCUUAGAUAUCACGAAGAACUCCGAUUGCGAAGGCAGCUUGCUGGACUGUAACUGACGCUGAUGCUCGAAAGUGUGGG
RNAcentral lists this ribosomal RNA (715 nucleotides) under uncultured bacterium. RNAcentral's name for it is "bacterial SSU rRNA". It matches the Rfam family "Bacterial small subunit ribosomal RNA", at positions 60 to 765 of the family's 1533-position model. The record is from RNAcentral.